AGUGAACGCUGGCGGUAGGCCUAACACAUGCAAGUCGAACGGCAGCACAGUAAGAGCUUGCUCUUACGGGUGGCGAGUGGCGGACGGGUGAGGAAUAAAUCGGAAUCUACUUUUUCGUGGGGGAUAACGUAGGGAAACUUACGCUAAUACCGCAUACGACCUACGGGUGAAAGCAGGGGAUCUUCGGACCUUGCGCGAUUGAAUGAGCCGAUGUCGGAUUAGCUAGUUGGCGGGGUAAAGGCCCACCAAGGCGACGAUCCGUAGCUGGUCUGAGAGGAUGAUCAGCCACACUGGAACUGAGACACGGUCCAGACUCCUACGGGAGGCAGCAGUGGGGAAUAUUGGACAAUGGGCGCAAGCCUGAUCCAGCCAUACCGCGUGGGUGAAGAGGGCCUUCGGGUUGUAAAGCCCUUUUGUUGGGAAAGAAAAGCAGCAGGUUAAUACCCCGCUGUUCUGACGGUACCCAAAGAAUAAGCACCGGCUAACUUCGUG
RNAcentral lists this ribosomal RNA (492 nucleotides) under uncultured bacterium. RNAcentral describes it as "partial 16S ribosomal RNA". It matches the Rfam family "Bacterial small subunit ribosomal RNA", at positions 29 to 507 of the family's 1533-position model. The record is from RNAcentral.